AGCGACGAGUUCAAGAACGACUGGAUGUCCUGUGGUCUGCCGGGAGGCCUACCGAUCAUGUUCUCUUUCGAUGAGAAGGUUGAUCUUCCAGUGAGCAUAACUUAGUUCUAUCACUAGACCCAAUCAAUCAUCAACCGUCUGGUGACUCUGGUCCCUCCCUUACUCUGUCACCAGAAUUUUGUCGCCAUCACCGGUGAACCCGCAGCUAUUGUCGCUCUUCAGGCUGAAUCCCUUAUCAACCCCGCUAUCACUGGAAGUAACCGCUUUCCACCGUUGCGGGCUCGACGGCGACCUUCGAGAUACCUUCACAUCCGAGCCAACGUCCGAACCAGGCCUUACGUUUGAACCACGGCAUUGCGCUCCUCAAAAAAACUCCCGUCUUCCUGCCUAUCGCUCUUCGUACUCGACCGCAAGCCUCUUCUGUCUCCUCCUGAGGGCCCGUUGUGGGUACUUGAAACGUAUUUGAAGCACAACAACGAUGGCGGAAAAUCACACCAUGCCGCAAUUGACAGCGCAAGGUGUACAUCCGCCUCUUCCAAGCCCUAGCUUCACGCUUAUACCAGCAUCUCCUUCUAGGCUGGAGACAUCUAUCCACUCCGAAGAGGCACCUUCAGAGACAACAUUGGUUCAAGAAGCCCUCCCUCAAACUCCACAAAAAGCGUUGCAAACAUACCUUCAUAGCUUUGACCUAGAGCAGCAGAGUUAUGACUCCCAAGACGGCACGGGUAGCUUCCAGGGACUCUACUAGUGGCAGAAAGAAACGGACAGUGACAUAGGAGCGCCAAAGCCAAACUUGCGGACCAUUGCAGACGUAUGCUGCAGCAUAUUUCUGAUCCUGAUGGCGCUAUUGGGUAUUGUGAUAUUCUUCUACUUUCUUUCUGGACGUUAUUUCCACCCGUGAUGCCGGAAAGCUACCAGUUGGAACAACGCUGCGUUGGUUCUGUUCUGUUGGACAAUGGGUAUCGGGGUCACAGCACACAAACCUGAUGCGAGGUAAUACUCGAGUCGCGGUUAUAUCUCUACCUAAUAGACCUAAGUAAUAGUAAUCGACGUUAUUCGCUGC
Molecule: non-coding RNA, 1063 nt
Organism: Neurospora crassa OR74A
Lineage: Eukaryota; Fungi; Ascomycota; Sordariomycetes; Sordariales; Sordariaceae
Source: RefSeq, a predicted model, not a curated record